UACGAAGGGGGCUAGCGUUGCUCGGAAUUACUGGGCGUAAAGGGUGCGUAGGCGGUCCGCUAAGUUGGAUGUGAAAACUCUGGGCUUAACCCAGAGCCUGCAUUCAAAACUGACGGGCUAGAGUUCUGGAGGGGGUAGCGGAAUUCCUGGUGUAGCGGUGAAAUGCGUAGAUAUCAGGAGGAACACCGGUGGCGAAGGCGGCUACCUGGACAGAAACUGACGCUGAGGCACGAAAGCUAGGGGAGCAAACAGG
RNAcentral lists this ribosomal RNA (253 nucleotides) under uncultured bacterium. RNAcentral describes it as "partial 16S ribosomal RNA". It matches the Rfam family "Bacterial small subunit ribosomal RNA", at positions 524 to 776 of the family's 1533-position model. The record is from RNAcentral.